This 506-nucleotide ribosomal RNA is filed under the name uncultured bacterium. Its description in RNAcentral is "partial 16S ribosomal RNA". It matches the Rfam family "Bacterial small subunit ribosomal RNA", at positions 30 to 523 of the family's 1533-position model. The record is from RNAcentral.
AUUGGACGCUGGCGGCAGGCCUAACACAUGCAAGUCGAACGGUAGCAGGAAGAAGCUUGCUUCUUUGCUGACGAGUGGCGGACGGGUGAGUAAUGUCUGAGAAACUGCCUGAUGGAGGGGGAUAACUACUGGAAACGGUAGCUAAUACCGCAUAACGUCGCAAGACCAAAGAGGGGGACCUUCGGGCCUCUUGCCAUCAGAUGUGCCCAGAUGGGAUUAGCUAGUAGGUGGGGUAACGGCUCACCUAGGCGACGAUCCCUAGCUGGUCUGAGAGGAUGACCAGCCACACUGGAACUGAGACACGGUCCAGACUCCUACGGGAGGCAGCAGUGGGGAAUAUUGCACAAUGGGCGCAAGCCUGAUGCAGCCAUGCCGCGUGUGUGAAGAAGGCCUUCGGGUUGUAAAGCACUUUCAGCGGGGAGGAAGGGGGAAUGGUUAAUAACCAUUGCCAUUGACGUUACCCGCAGAAGAAGCACCGGCUAACUCCGUGCCAGCCGCCGCCGUAA